This 492-nucleotide ribosomal RNA is filed under the name uncultured bacterium. RNAcentral's name for it is "partial 16S ribosomal RNA". It matches the Rfam family "Bacterial small subunit ribosomal RNA", at positions 29 to 507 of the family's 1533-position model. The record is from RNAcentral.
AGUGAACGCUGGCGGUAGGCCUAACACAUGCAAGUCGAACGGCAGCACAGUAAGAGCUUGCUCUUACGGGUGGCGAGUGGCGGACGGGUGAGGAAUACAUCGGAAUCUACUUUUUCGGGGGGGAUAACGUAGGGAAACUUACGCUAAUACCGCAUACGACCUACGGGUGAAAGCAGGGGAUCUUCGGACCUUGCGCGAUUGAAUGAGCCGAUGUCGGAUUAGCUAGUUGGCGGGGUAAAGGCCCACCAAGGCGACGAUCCGUAGCUGGUCUGAGAGGAUGAUCAGCCACACUGGAACUGAGACAUGGUCCAGACUCCUACGGGAGGCAGCAGUGGGGAAUAUUGGACAAUGGGCGCAAGCCUGAUCCAGCCAUACCGCGUGGGUGAAGAAGGCCUUCGGGUUGUAAAGCCCUUUUGUUGGGAAAGAAAAGCAGCAGGUUAAUACCCCGCUGUUCUGACGGUACCCAAAGAAUAAGCACCGGCUAACUUCGUG